Molecule: ribosomal RNA, 1428 nt
Filed under: Salmonella enterica subsp. enterica serovar Hato
Lineage: Bacteria; Pseudomonadati; Pseudomonadota; Gammaproteobacteria; Enterobacterales; Enterobacteriaceae
Description: partial 23S ribosomal RNA
Rfam family: Bacterial large subunit ribosomal RNA
Source: RNAcentral
AAUCCAUAGGUUAAUGAGGCGAACCGGGGGAACUGAAACAUCUAAGUACCCCGAGGAAAAGAAAUCAACCGAGAUUCCCCCAGUAGCGGCGAGCGAACGGGGAGGAGCCCAGAGCCUGAAUCAGCAUGUGUGUUAGUGGAAGCGUCUGGAAAGGCGCGCGAUACAGGGUGACAGCCCCGUACACAAAAGCGCAUGUGCUGUGAGCUCGAUGAGUAGGGCGGGACACGUGGUAUCCUGUCUGAAUAUGGGGGGACCAUCCUCCAAGGCUAAAUACUCCUGACUGACCGAUAGUGAACCAGUACCGUGAGGGAAAGGCGAAAAGAACCCCGGCGAGGGGAGUGAAAAAGAACCUGAAACCGUGUACGUACAAGCAGUGGGAGCACCCUUUGGGGUGUGACUGCGUACCUUUUGUAUAAUGGGUCAGCGACUUAUAUUCUGUAGCAAGGUUAACCGAAUAGGGGAGCCGGAGGGAAACCGAGUCUUAAUUGGGCGUUAAGUUGCAGGGUAUAGACCCGAAACCCGGUGAUCUAGCCAUGGGCAGGUUGAAGGUUGGGUAACACUAACUGGAGGACCGAACCGACUAAUGUUGAAAAAUUAGCGGAUGACCUGUGGCUGGGGGUGAAAGGCCAAUCAAACCGGGAGAUAGCUGGUUCUCCCCGAAAGCUAUUUAGGUAGCGCCUCGUGAAUUCAUCUCCGGGGGUAGAGCACUGUUUCGGCUAGGGGGCCAUCCCGGCUUACCAACCCGAUGCAAACUGCGAAUACCGGAGAAUGUUAUCACGGGAGACACACGGCGGGUGCUAACGUCCGUCGUGAAGAGGGAAACAACCCAGACCGCCAGCUAAGGUCCCAAAGUCAUGGUUAAGUGGGAAACGAUGUGGGAAGGCCCAGACAGCCAGGAUGUUGGCUUAGAAGCAGCCAUCAUUUAAAGAAAGCGUAAUAGCUCACUGGUCGAGUCGGCCUGCGCGGAAGAUGUAACGGGGCUAAACCAUGCACCGAAGCUGCGGCAGCGAACGUAUCACCCAAGACAACUUUGCGGAGUUGACGAUUGACGGAGCGAAGCGACGUCAAAGCGUUCAUUAAAGUCGAGUUGGCUUAGGGAUACGUUCGUUGGGUAGGGGAGCGUUCUGUAAGCCUGCGAAGGUGGCCUGUGAGGGUUGCUGGAGGUAUCAGAAGUGCGAAUGCUGACAUAAGUAACGAUAAAGCGGGUGAAAAGCCCGCUCGCCGGAAGACCAAGGGUUCCUGUCCAACGUUAAUCGGGGCAGGGUGAGUCGACCCCUAAGGCGAGGCCGAAAGGCGUAGUCGAUGGGAAACGGGUUAAUAUUCCCGUACUUGGUGUUACUGCGAAGGGGGGACGGAGAAGGCUAUGUUGGCCGGGCGACGGUUGUCCCGGUUUAAGCGUGUAGGUGUGUGUUCCAGGUAAAUCCGGUU